This 2262-nucleotide long non-coding RNA is filed under the name Carassius auratus (goldfish). RNAcentral's name for it is "lncRNA (ENSCARG00000053310.1)". Lineage: Eukaryota; Metazoa; Chordata; Actinopteri; Cypriniformes; Cyprinidae. The record is from RNAcentral.
GCCAACAUGAGUAUCGGUUCAGAAUGGUUCACGGGGCAAAUUCCAAAAAGGAAGUGAUCAUCCCAAUCCCCUUGGAGUGAGGACUUUGGAGUGAGCAAGACACCUGCGUGCCAUUAUGUAGUUGUGUGAAAUGCAUGUGGCAAAGGGAGCAUUUCCUCAUUAUCUUCAGCUGGCAUGUUCCCAUGACAAUGCAGCAUAGUGUUCAUCUGCAGAUGUCACUGUUUUACUGGCAUAAAUAUAUAUAUAUUUUUUUAUUUUGUAUGCAACAUCGGACAGCCAGGGGGCAGCUGGGGUGGUGCAUACUGGUCUGGAUGACAGUGGGCAAAAGUUGUCCAAGCAAGAUGUUAGAGUGGAGCAAAGAGUGUCAGUAGCACUGUUUGUGUCCAGAGCUGAAAACUGAGAGAGUGAAGGAAGUGAGGAUGAACCAUAGAGGACAGGUGAGAUGGAGAGAGUGAGCAUAGGUUCUGUCGAAAGGAGACCUGCGGGGCAGUGUGUGCCGCUUCAGGAGCAAGUGCACUUGAAAUAUUGCCGUUCACACGCAGGUGUUGGAAUUCCUCCUGACGCAAGGGAGUUACAGCGCAAUGGACUCAAGGACAAACAUGGCCAGCGCUGCUUUGAUUCGGUUCAUCUGAGGAUUUACACAAGCUCCAGUCUGGACCCAGAACACCUGAGAAGAGAUGAUGCCAACCCUGAAACAACAUACAUAACUGCCAAAUUCUGCUAUAAGUUUUAUCGCAACAUAUAAUAAUUGCUGUUAAUAGUGUUUACUGUCUGUUUGAUUUGGGCAUUAACUUGAAGCAUUAACCCAAUCUCUGUAUCCAAAAACCUAACCCUACCCAUAAUUUAUUCCUAAAAUCUGAGGGAAAUGAUAGCUGAAUUACAAAGGCGUAGAAGCACCUAACUCAGGUUGUAAGCCUAAAACAAAUAUUUCCUGAAAAGUUAUAUCUCAAUUCUGAUUAGUUUAUUGGAAUGUUGUUCCAGGAUAAACAAGGAUGUUGAUCCAGGAAUGUGUUGUACUUGGUGAAAUCAUGCUUGCCUUAACUUGAUGGUCACCACUGAUAAGCUACUACUAAAUUUAACGUAGAAACUUACAUUUUCUAUAAAGCUGUUUAUCAACGAUUUACAUAAUGAAAAGUGCUAUACAAAUAAACUUUGAAUUGAAUUGAACUUGUCAAGUCAAGUCACCUUUAUUUAUAUAGAGCUUUAAACAAAAUACAUUGCGUCAAAGCAACUGAACAACAUUCAUUUGGAAAACAGUGUGUCAAUAAUGCAAAAUGAUAGUUAAAGGCAGUUCAUCAUUGAAUUCAGUGAUGUCAUCUCUGUUCAGUUAAAUAGUGUCUGUGCAUUUAUUUGCAAUCAAUUAUUAAUAUCGCUGUAGAUGAAGUGACCCCAACUAAGCAAGCCAGAGGCGACAGCGGCAAGGAACCGAAACUCCAUCGGUGACAGAAUGGAGAAAAAAACCUUGGGAGAAACCAGGCUCAGUUGGGGUCAGUUCUCCUCUGACCAGACGAAACCAGUAGUUCAAUUCCAGACUGCAGCAAAGUCAGAUUGUGCAGAAGAAUCAUCUGUUUCCGAACAAUGUUAGGUAGGUUAUUCCAGAGUUUAGGCGUCAAAUAGGAAAAGGAUCUGCCGCCCGCAGUUGAUUUUGAUAUUCUAGGUAUUAUCAAAUUGAGAAAGUUUUGAGAACGUAGCGGACGUAGAGGAGUAUAAUGUAAAAGGAGCUCAUUCAAAUACUGAGGUGCUAAACCAUUCAGGGCUUUAUAAGUAAUAAGCAAUAUUUUAAAAUCUAUACGAUGUUUGAUAGGGAGCCAGUGCAGUGUGGACAGGACCGGGCUAAUAUGGUCAUACUUCCUGGUUCCUGUAAGAACUCUUGCUGCUGCAUUUUGGACUAGCUGUAGUUUGUUUACUAAGCGUGCAGAACAACCACCCGAUAAAGCAUUACAAUAGUCUAACCUUGAAGUCAUAAAUGCAUGGAUUAACAUUUCUGCAUUUGACAUUGAGAGCAUAGGCCGUAAUUUAGAUAUAUUUUUGAGAUGGAAAAAUGCAGUUUUACAAAUGACUUUCUAAGGAAAGAUUGCGAUCAAGUAGCACACCUAGGUUCCUAACUGAUGACGAAGAAUUGACAGAGCAACCAUCAAGUCUUAGAAUUUGAAAUAUACACCUGGUUCAGGGUUCUCUGUGGCUUACCAAUGACCUUGCUCAAUAUGUUAAUGACCCUAGUUAAUGUUUUAAUAUUUGAUAUUCUGAUGAACGGCACAUUUG